Acanthosepion pharaonis is the source of this 88-nucleotide non-coding RNA. The record is from the annotation of a GenBank genome assembly. Lineage: Eukaryota; Metazoa; Mollusca; Cephalopoda; Sepiida; Sepiidae.
GUUCUCGUUCGAUCACCGAAGUUAAGCAUCGUAGAGCCAGGUCAGUACUUAGAUGGGGGACCGCUUGGGAACACCUGGUACUGUAAGC